AUUUCAUUGAAGCACACUCAAUCGUUACUACACAUAAAUUCAUCCCACUGUUUCCAUGUUAAAUCUAGAACGGAAAUUUUAAUCACAAACCAAGUUAACUUUCUGUGCUUUAACUUAAGUCUAAGGUAUAUUUCCUAUAUUUCUGAGCCGAAAUAAUUCAUUUUCGUUUUGUCUUUUCUACCGAGGAUCAUCGCACCGUAAGAAGAAAUGUCCGGACGUGGAAAGGGAGGCGAGGACUGACGAUGGAAGGUACCGGACGUGACUGAAUGGAGAUUCACAGUCUUCUAACACAUAUGACAAGAAACGCCUGCACGCCGUAAGAGUGGAAAGGAGCUGGGGAAUUGAUCUGUCAAUCGCCUGCCACUGAAAGCGCUUCGGGACAACAUCCAGUGCAUCACCGAGCCAAGGAGGCGUUCAGUCUUUCCAAGACAUAUGACAAGGUGCUGUGCUGUACUGUAUUGUGUGAAAGCAGUAAUAGGAUAGCAAUCUUUAGCUGAUAAGUUCAAUGCCUGAACCUGAACAAUGCUUAGUAGAGUUUUCUUUUCAAAAUUAGGGCUUAUGUGUGGACAGCUAAGCUGUUAGGCAGCUGAUGCGUGCAUAGGUCCUGGCCCUGAUUUUGAACCUGUUCGCAAGUAUUGGAGGAAGGAAGCAAACAAGAAGACUGUUAACUGGGUUAACACAACUAUACAACAAGUUUGGAAUGAGACAUCUCCGAGCAGCUUCCAGUAUCUUAUUGGUGCCAUCAAGCCCGGAUCAUCUGCAGCUGCAAUGCUCAUGUUUGGACUUAUCCUGGUGAGAGGCCGCCUGAUGCCAUCUCCACGGUGAUGUCCAGAAAUAUGCACUCAGGACUUCAGCCCGCUUCUGUGAUGUACAGGCCCGAUGUGUGACUGAUUUGGUUUCUGUGGCUGUGUCGAUGGCCCUGAUCGUAUUCAACCAGUUCCUGUAAAUUCUGUUCUUUAUAAAACAGGAACUUAAAUUUCCUGGUUAAUCAUUAUCUCUUUUAAUUUCUGUUUUAUGUCGUGGUCAGUGGUUGUCGGGAACCUGGACCAUUACAUAAUCUGCCUUGUGUCGCUAUCUUGGAUCCCGAACCAAGAGAACAACACAGGCCAGAAAGGACGACAGGUGCUUAAAAAGCCUAUUUUAUAUUUGGUCCUUUAGAAACACUCGACUUCUUGGUAUCAACACAAUCACAGAAACUUAAUCAAUCCAAACAGAAUGCAAUGUGUGCCAUCCUACAGCCAUCAUCUAUAUCACGAUGCUAGAUACAUGUAAUAAGCUUGAUCGAGUAAAGUUGGAGUCUGAUUUCAUUUUGGUCUCGUCUUGCGUUUUGGAUAUGUAGUGCUGUUUAUUCGCCUUUUGUAAGCAGCCUUUGUUUUGAAUGUAUUAAUCACAUCAUACCAUUCUAGUACAGCGGUGGCUAAACUGAUAUGAUUUUGUUUUGUUUUGUUCUCACUAAGACUUUGCUUUGUGCAUUUUACUUGUAUUUUUGUACAUAAGUGGUCUACAGGUUAGUUAAGUAAAUGCCAUUAUUGUCCGUUUAUUGUGUAUAGGUUGUUUGUAGCCUUUGAAACCAGUCCUUUGGAAAUUUCCUUACUUAAGGCUUAGGCUGACGCUUACACUAACAGAAACACACGCACGCACACACACACACACACACACACACACACACACACACACACACAAAAUAGAUGUUAAGUUUUAGUUCAAUUUAUCUAGUUUUAGUGCCAGAGCAAUUUUUGUGUGUGGAUUUGAGAGAUGUACAUAUUUGUACACUUUGCAUUCAUCUAUUGCUUCCAAAUAAACAGUUUGAAAUCAGUUCUGUAGUAACUGUUUUAUUGCUUUCCCCUUUUAUACCCUUACGCCCAUGUGGUCCCUCCAUCCCUAGACUCUUAACCCCAUGUGUGAAAUGGUUGGUCCCCCUCCAUUCCAAUAGCAUUUAACCCAAUGACUCUUUUCCAGAUCCUUAACCCCAUGUGAAAUGGAUGAUCCCGUCCCAGAUCCUUGGUCCUUUUCUAUAUUCUUUACCCCUGUUAAAUGGACGCCCCCGUUCCCAGAGUCCCAUAUGAAAUGACGGGUCCUUCCCUAGCCAAACCCUUAAACCUUGAAAAUGGAUAGUCCCCUUUUCCCAGAGACCCUAAUGGUUUUUGAGGAAGCUAUUUGGACAUUCAGGUCCCAUGAUGACCCGGGACAGCCUGAGGCUUCAGCCUCUCCUACAGCCAAAGUCAAAAGUCAAAGUUCCUUCCCGCGCCUGAUGGCGCAUAGGGCGGCGCCCAUCUCCGUUUCAGUAGCCCUUG
Branchiostoma floridae (Florida lancelet) is the source of this 2294-nucleotide long non-coding RNA. RefSeq lists it as uncharacterized. The record is from RefSeq and is a predicted model, not a curated record. The transcript is spliced from 3 exons. NCBI's taxonomy places the organism in Eukaryota, Metazoa, Chordata, Leptocardii, Amphioxiformes, Branchiostomatidae.